Long non-coding RNA from Rhododendron vialii, 729 nucleotides. RefSeq lists it as uncharacterized. The transcript has 3 exons. Lineage: Eukaryota; Viridiplantae; Streptophyta; Magnoliopsida; Ericales; Ericaceae. The record is from RefSeq and is a predicted model, not a curated record.
GUUCUAUACUGUGACAUGGAAAAGAUAAACACCCAUAUAUUGCAUUUGUAGAAUUACCACAAGCAAUAGUAGUGCUGUAGAUGACAACAUCUUUAGAAUUCUGCAGGUGGAUUCCAUCUGUAUUAGAACUGUCACCGGGGGAUGAAACACGCACAUCAAAAACCUGAACAGCCGUGCAAGCAUCGAAUUUGAGGUUCGAACUCCGUCUUAAGUCUGAACAAAGUUUGGGUAGUUUACCUCCUGUGAGCUGCUAUAGUUUGAUUCUUUUGCUGAAGAUGCAGAUGAUUCUAAAUCGUUUGUGGGAUUGUCCACGGGUGAUUCAUUCCACCAUACUGAACCUUGGCCGUCGAUGGUACCACUACCUCUGAUGGUAAUCCCGUUGAGCUUCGUGAAUUCAAGCCAUUGCAGGAGACCAGAUCCCCAGGCUGCAGAGCUUGUUGGAGCAAUAAUCUUACCAUCCAGCUGCAGACAAAUUAACCUCAGUUAGUGCCUGAGAAAGAGAUGGGGUUGAGUAGGAACACAUGCCCUGACGGCACCACCACCGUUGAUGCCACCACUUUACAAGCAUCCGCCCAGGCAGCUUCAAACGCCUGCCAUGCAUUCUGAUAUCUGUUAUUACCCAUGUGAGCUUUUAUUUGGAGAAAAAAAGCACUCACAUAAAGGCAGGUAUCAUCUUUAAUUAGCUUCUUGUCUAUUUACUUUUCCGGUAAUACAGAAACUAAACUGAGU